Molecule: ribosomal RNA, 446 nt
Filed under: uncultured bacterium
Lineage: Bacteria
Description: partial 16S ribosomal RNA
Rfam family: Bacterial small subunit ribosomal RNA
Source: RNAcentral
CCUACGGGUGGCUGCAGUCGAGAAUCAUUCACAAUGGGGGAAACCCUGAUGGUGCGACGCCGCGUGGGGGAAUGAAGGUCUUCGGAUUGUAAACUCCUGUCAUGUGGGAGCAAAUUAAAAAGAUAGUACCACAAGAGGAAGAGACGGCUAACUCUGUGCCAGCAGCCGCGGUAAUACAGAGGUAUCAAGCGUGGUUCGGAAGCACUGGGCGUAAAGCGUGCGUAGGCUGUUUCGUAAGUCGUGGGUGAAAGGCGCGGGCUCAACCCGCGGACGGCACAUGAUACUGCGAGACUAGAGUGAUGGAGGGGGAACCGGAAUUCUCGGUGUAGCAGUGAAAUGCGUAGAUAUCGAGAGGAACACUCGUGGCGAAGGCGGGUUCCUGAACAUUAACUGACGCUGAGGCACGAAGGCCAGGGGAGCGAAAGGGAUUAGAUACCCUAGUAGUC